GACGGAGGGGGCUAGCGUUGUUCGGAAUUACUGGGCGUAAAGGGCGCGUAGGCGGCGCGGCGAGUCGGGCGUUAAAGACCUGGGCUCAACCCGGGGGGUGCGCUCGAUACUGCCGUGCUCGAGACCGGGAGAGGAGAGUGGAAUUCCCAGUGUAGAGGUGAAAUUCGUAGAUAUUGGGAAGAACACCAGCGGCGAAGGCGGCUCUCUGGCCCGGCUCUGACGCUAAGGCGCGAAAGCGUGGGGAGCAAACAGG
Molecule: ribosomal RNA, 253 nt
Filed under: uncultured bacterium
Lineage: Bacteria
Description: partial 16S ribosomal RNA
Rfam family: Bacterial small subunit ribosomal RNA
Source: RNAcentral